This 521-nucleotide long non-coding RNA is filed under the name Equus caballus (horse). Its description in RNAcentral is "lncRNA (ENSECAG00000047220.1)". The record is from RNAcentral. Lineage: Eukaryota; Metazoa; Chordata; Mammalia; Perissodactyla; Equidae.
CUCUUCCUCUCCUGGAUGGUGCCAACUAGAAGCCACCUGGAGCAGACAAUGUUUUUGCUAUUCCACGGCCAAGUCCCACUUCCUUCCCAAAGGAACCCCGACUUUGUCCUGGCACCACCCUCCUCCGCCUAGGUACAGGCUUCGGGGAGGAGAGUCCCAUCCACAGCCCUGGAGAAAGCUAUUCCUGCCACAGCUUCAGAUGUCCAACAAUAUCAACAGAAAAGAUAAAAAUAUCACAAAACUUCUUCCUCCCAGCAUCCAAAUUUCAGUGGAUUUUCUCUGCUUGAGCCUCACGCAUCCUUCUUAUUCCUAUCCUUGAUGCUGAGGGCUGGGGCCAGGAAUCUUGAUUGACAACUCCCCAGAAACACCUGGAAGAAGACAGAGCAAUUUCCUCAAAGAUCUAAGAGGAUUGAACAAAAAUCUGUAUACAUCAUCUAAUUAAAUAAAACUAAUUACACUUUAUCUUGGUUGAUGUAAUUUAUUGUCAGCAUGAAUUGCUUCAGCCAUUUUUCCGCAACCCA